Molecule: non-coding RNA, 24 nt
Filed under: Arabidopsis thaliana (thale cress)
Lineage: Eukaryota; Viridiplantae; Streptophyta; Magnoliopsida; Brassicales; Brassicaceae
Source: RNAcentral
AACAAAUGUAUGCCUUAUGUUAAG